GGAGCGUUAACUCAGUGGUAGAGUGCCACCUUCACACGGUGGAAGUCAUUGGUUCAAAUCCAAUACGCUCUA
This 72-nucleotide transfer RNA is filed under the name Treponemataceae bacterium. RNAcentral's name for it is "tRNA-Val". It matches the Rfam family "tRNA". Rfam says of the family: Transfer RNA (tRNA) molecules are approximately 80 nucleotides in length. Lineage: Bacteria; Pseudomonadati; Spirochaetota; Spirochaetia; Treponematales; Treponemataceae. The record is from RNAcentral.